Molecule: ribosomal RNA, 645 nt
Filed under: Xanthomonas retroflexus
Lineage: Bacteria; Pseudomonadati; Pseudomonadota; Gammaproteobacteria; Lysobacterales; Lysobacteraceae
Description: bacterial SSU rRNA
Rfam family: Bacterial small subunit ribosomal RNA
Source: RNAcentral
GGCUCAGAGUGAACGCUGGCGGUAGGCCUAACACAUGCAAGUCGAACGGCAGCACAGAGGAGCUUGCUCCUUGGGUGGCGAGUGGCGGACGGGUGAGGAAUACAUCGGAAUCUACUUUUUCGUGGGGGAUAACGUAGGGAAACUUACGCUAAUACCGCAUACGACCUACGGGUGAAAGCAGGGGACCUUCGGGCCUUGCGCGAUUGAAUGAGCCGAUGUCGGAUUAGCUAGUUGGCGGGGUAAAGGCCCACCAAGGCGACGAUCCGUAGCUGGUCUGAGAGGAUGAUCAGCCACACUGGAACUGAGACACGGUCCAGACUCCUACGGGAGGCAGCAGUGGGGAAUAUUGGACAAUGGGCGCAAGCCUGAUCCAGCCAUACCGCGUGGGUGAAGAAGGCCUUCGGGUUGUAAAGCCCUUUUGUUGGGAAAGAAAUCCAGCCGGCUAAUACCUGGUUGGGAUGACGGUACCCAAAGAAUAAGCACCGGCUAACUUCGUGCCAGCAGCCGCGGUAAUACGAAGGGUGCAAGCGUUACUCGGAAUUACUGGGCGUAAAGCGUGCGUAGGUGGUUGUUUAAGUCUGUUGUGAAAGCCCUGGGCUCAACCUGGGAACUGCAGUGGAAACUGGACAACUAGAGUGUGGUAGA